UGAAUUUCAGUUAACUUGGCAAUUCUCCUCCCUCUAAUUGAGGGAAAGGCCCCCUCCUUUCCCCAUCACAGGGAGGGGGCGGAGCAUCCUCUGAGAAGCUUGGAUGUGAGCUGUGCCUGGCCACUCUUGGGGGAGGGGCUGCAUUUCACGAGGCUGCAGCUGACAAGAAGCUUCAAGCUGAAAUUUUCCUGGACCUGAUCAAGUGCGUAGCCUGGUUGCUGUGUUGACUACAGCCCUGUCUGUGUCCUCCUUGCAACUCAUUCUUUCAGACAACAGCUUAGGUUAAUGUCUGAGAUGCACAUGACCUGGGGAAUCUUCAGGAAUCUGUGACACCAAUUGAGCCCCAGAGGGGCAGCACAACCUCAGAAGUGCUGAACAGGGAGAAGGCCCUGCUGCGGACAAGCAGCUGGAGUGAGAAUAAAAACAACGGGAUCAUAGGGGCAACUCUGCACGAUCCAUGUGACAUUGGGGAGGGGGCACAGCGUUCUCUGAGAAGCUUCGGAGUGAGCUGUGCCUGGCCAGUCUUGGGGGAGGAGCAGCAUUUCACUGAGCUGCAGCUGACAAGAAGCUUCAAGACAGCCUGUCUCUUUUUGCAGUAA
Molecule: long non-coding RNA, 599 nt
Filed under: Cervus hanglu yarkandensis (Yarkand deer)
Lineage: Eukaryota; Metazoa; Chordata; Mammalia; Artiodactyla; Cervidae
Description: lncRNA (ENSCHYG00000024174.1)
Source: RNAcentral